AGCCCGGUUCCAAACCCUUGCUGGAGAGGUGAUACAGUCAUUUGGAGGAAAGAGGGUUGCUGUGGUAUGCUGGGGUUCCGCUUCAAUGCCUAGUCACCUCAGAUUUUCCUGUACCUGCAGGUAUCACCAGUGAAGCCUGCGAAGCAGCAAAGAUGGCAGUCUGCCCCGUCUUCUAGGAGCUCUGUCACAGGGAGGGAAUGAUACAAGCUUGUUGUGCAAGCCAGAAAUCUGAAUGUAUUCUUUGACAUCUACCACUCUUUUUCACUCUCUCCUUAUGUGGAAAGUACUAUGAAUUUAUUCUCCAAUCAUCUUUUUAAUCUGGACACCUCUGGCCAUUUCUAUUGCCACAACCAUAGUUCAAUUUAUUGUCAUCUCCUAACUGAACUACUGUAAUCGUUUCCUAAUACUCACUCAGAUGAUCUUACUUUAUGUAAUAUCUACUUCACAUACGCAGCUGGAGUAAAAUGUUACAUUACAAAUCUGAUAUGAGAAAAUUACAUCUGGGAGCAUUUUAAUUUACUUUAAUAGAGAGAUUCUUUUGUUAUGCAAAUAUCCCUUCAAUGACCAAAUUGUCUUUCUAAGGGGAUGUCAUCAAGAGGGAAAAGAGCUUAAAUUUAUUGAACUAAAGAAAUAAAGCAAUUAUUCAAGUAAAUAA
This 655-nucleotide long non-coding RNA is filed under the name Homo sapiens (human). RNAcentral describes it as "long intergenic non-protein coding RNA 2619". The record is from RNAcentral. Lineage: Eukaryota; Metazoa; Chordata; Mammalia; Primates; Hominidae.